This 32-nucleotide non-coding RNA is filed under the name Rattus norvegicus (Norway rat). Lineage: Eukaryota; Metazoa; Chordata; Mammalia; Rodentia; Muridae. The record is from RNAcentral.
GCACGCAGUAUCAGUGAAUACUUACAGUGCCU